This 442-nucleotide ribosomal RNA is filed under the name uncultured bacterium. RNAcentral describes it as "partial 16S ribosomal RNA". It matches the Rfam family "Bacterial small subunit ribosomal RNA", at positions 338 to 795 of the family's 1533-position model. The record is from RNAcentral.
CCUACGGGUGGCAGCAGUGAGGAAUAUUGGGCAAUGGGCGCAAGCCUGACGCAGCAACGCCGCGUGAAGGAAGAAGGCUUUCGGGUUGUAAACUUCUUUUGUCAGGGAAGAGUAGAAGACGGUACCUGACGAAUAAGACACGGCUAACUACGUGCCAGCAGCCGCGGUAAGACGUAGGUGGCAAGCGUUGUCCGGAUUUACUGGGGGGAAAGGGCGUGUAGCCGGGGUGACAAGGCAGAUGUGAAAUCCUGCGGCUUAACCGCAGAACUGCAUUGGAACCUGUUGAUCUUGAGUACUGGAGAGGCAGGCGGAAUUCCUGGUGUAGCGGUGAAAUGCGUAGAUAUCAGGAGGAACACCAGUGGCGAAGGCGGUCUGCUGGACCGCAACUGACGGUGAGGCGCGAAAGCGUGGGGAGCAAACAGGAUUAGAUACCCGAGUAGUC